RNAcentral lists this ribosomal RNA (241 nucleotides) under uncultured bacterium. Its description in RNAcentral is "partial 16S ribosomal RNA". It matches the Rfam family "Bacterial small subunit ribosomal RNA", at positions 15 to 236 of the family's 1533-position model. The record is from RNAcentral.
GAUCAUGGCUCAGGAUGAACGCUGGCGGCGUGCCUAACACAUGCAAGUCGAGCGAAGCGCUUUAGUGGAAUUCUACGGAAGGAAAGUGAAGUGACUGAGCGGCGGACGGGUGAAGGUAACGCGUGGGUAACCUGCCUCAUACAGGGGGAUAACAGUUAGAAAUGACUGCUAAUACCGCAUAAGACCCCAGUACCGCAUGGUACAGAGGUAAAAACUGAGGUGGUAUGAGAUGGACCCGCGU